ACCAGGUGCGGUGGUAUGUGCCUGUAGUCCCAGCUACUUGGGAGGCUGAGGCGGGAGGUUCGCUUGAGCCCAGGAGUUCUGGGCUGUAGUGCGAUCAGGUGUCUGCACUAAGUUCAGCAUCAAUAUGGUGACCUCCUGGGAGCGGGGGACGGUUGCCUAAGGAGGGGCGAACUGGCCCAGGUUGGAAACAGAACAGGUCAAAACUCCCGCUGAUCAGUAGUGGGAUUGUGCCUAUGAAUAGCCACUGCACUCCAGCCUGGGCAACACUGCGAGAUCCCGUCUCU
RNAcentral lists this signal recognition particle RNA (284 nucleotides) under Aotus nancymaae (Ma's night monkey). RNAcentral's name for it is "Metazoan signal recognition particle RNA (ENSANAG00000007513.1)". It matches the Rfam family "Metazoan signal recognition particle RNA". Rfam says of the family: The signal recognition particle (SRP) is a universally conserved ribonucleoprotein. It is involved in the co-translational targeting of proteins to membranes. Lineage: Eukaryota; Metazoa; Chordata; Mammalia; Primates; Aotidae. The record is from RNAcentral.